AUCUGGAGGAAUAACACCUUCUGUCCAGUUGAGGAACAGGUGUCAGCGCAAAGCUCAUAAUGACUGUUACCUGAACACUCAAGUG
This is a long non-coding RNA of Sinocyclocheilus rhinocerous, 85 nucleotides long. RefSeq lists it as uncharacterized. NCBI's taxonomy places the organism in Eukaryota, Metazoa, Chordata, Actinopteri, Cypriniformes, Cyprinidae. The record is from RefSeq and is a predicted model, not a curated record. The transcript has 3 exons.